Carlito syrichta (Philippine tarsier) is the source of this 201-nucleotide unclassified non-coding RNA. Lineage: Eukaryota; Metazoa; Chordata; Mammalia; Primates; Tarsiidae. The record is from Ensembl.
GGGUGAGUGAUCGUACCUGCCAGCUGGCUUAUGUCAUAAUUAACAAAGUUGCUACUAUGUCUGCAAAGUUUAAUUGAAAAAUUUGCCAGUGAUAUGACGACACUGUCACAGAUCACAAGGGACACAGGGCCGAUUUUAGCUGCUAGUGGAACGGGGAAGCUGUGUUUGCAAGAUGGGAAAUUGAGGACCUGUUCAGCCAAA